Molecule: unclassified non-coding RNA, 1913 nt
Filed under: Hevea brasiliensis (rubber tree)
Lineage: Eukaryota; Viridiplantae; Streptophyta; Magnoliopsida; Malpighiales; Euphorbiaceae
Source: RNAcentral
GUUGAAUUCCAAGUGGGUUUUCAUAAAUCUUCUCCGCGGGAUUCUGGUUUUAUGCAUGAGCUUUGGCUUGGAAUCUGCAAUAGUUGCUGCUAAUCGUGGAAAUGAGACUGACAGACUCGCUUUACUCGACUUCAAGAAUCUGAUAACUCAAGAUCCUCUUCAAGUCAUGAGUUCCUGGAAUGAUUCAGUCCAUUUCUGCAAUUGGCUUGGUGUUUCAUGCGGCUUGUCUAAGGAUAGAAUAGUAACUUUGAACCUGGAAUCUCAAAGAUUGGCUGGCUCCAUACCACCUUCUAUAGGAAACCUCACCCAUCUGACAGGAAUCAACUUGUACAACAACAGUUUUUUUGGUGAGCUUCCUCCAGAAAUGGGUCGCCUAUGGCGCUUGCAGCAUUUAAACUUGACCUAUAAUUCCUUUGGCGGGAAAAUUCCAACCAACCUCACUUACUGUAAGGAACUUACAACAUUUUCAGCAUCUUACAACAACUUCAUAGGGGAGAUUCCAGAGCAGCUUAGCUCAUUGUCCAAGCUGGUUGCCUUUGGUCUUGGAGAGAAUAACCUUACAGGAAGCAUCCCAACCUGGAUAGGGAACUUCUCUUCUCUGAUUGGUCUUUCACUUGCCCUGAAUAAUUUUGUGGGAAAAAUACCCAAUGAAAUCGGUCGGCUUUCAGGCUUGGGCUUUUUUCAACUUUAUGGCAAUUAUCUUUCUGGUACGAUCCCUUCUUCAAUUUAUAAUAUCUCUUCCAUAUACUACUUCUCUGUCACUCAAAACCAGCUUCAUGGGGAAUUACCACGAGGCGUUGGCCUGACUCUUCCGAGGCUUAGAGUCUUUGCUGGUGGUGUUAACAACUUUACAGGGGUUAUUCCUGCGUCGUUGUCAAAUGCUUCUGGACUUCAGGUGCUUGAUUUUGCUCAAAAUAGUCUCACUGGGACUAUUCCCAGGACUCUACAAAGAUUGCAAAGCUUAGUUAGACUUAAUUUUGAUGUUAAUAACUUGGGAAAUGGGGAAGUUGAUGACUUGAAUUUUCUUAGUUCGUUGGCUAACUGCACUAGUUUAGAGGUUUUGGGUCUGGCAAGAAAUCAUUUUGGAGGAGAAUUGCCUAGCUCCAUAGCCAACCUUUCAACCAAGUUACGAAUUUUUACUGUAGGAGAGAAUCUGAUCCAUGGAAGCAUCCCCAUUGGAAUUGAGAACCUAGUUAACUUGGCCCUUCUGGGAUUGGAAGGUAACUAUCUCAGUGGAAAUGUUCCAGCUGUAAUUGGGAAACUGCAGAAAUUAGAAGGUUUGCAUUUGAAUUAUAACAGAUUCUCUGGAUCAAUCCCACCCUUCCUAGGUAACUUGACUAGAUUGACUAGGCUUUUCAUGGAGGAAAACAGAUUUGAGGGUAGCAUACCUGAAAGUCUGGGAAACUGCCAAAAUCUUCAAAACCUAAAUCUCUCGAGUAAUUUCCUUAAUGGAAGCAUUCCCAAACAGGUCAUCGGUCUUCCUUCCAUCUCAAUUUCUUUGGUUAUGUCUCAAAAUUCCUUGAGUGGUUCCAUACCAUUAGAAGUAGGUAACUUAGUCAAUCUCAUGGAGUUGGAUUUGUCACAGAACAAAUUGUCUGGUGGAAUUCCUAGCACGCUUGGCAGCUGUGUUAGUUUGGAACGCCUGAACUUGGAGGGUAAUGAACUUGUAGGAACAAUUCCUGAGUCUUUGGAAAACUUAAGAGGUAUAGAAGAACUUGAUCUUUCAAGCAAUAACAUGUCUGGUGUGAUUCCUGAAUUUCUCAGCAAGUUACUGUUCCUCAAGCGUCUCAAUCUUUCCUAUAAUGAUUUUGAGGGAGAAGUGCCAGGAGAAGGUAUAUUUUCAAAUGCCAGUGCCAUUUCAAUUAUUGGAAAUGAUGAACUCUGUGGUGGUAUCCCAGACUUACAUUUGUCUG